GACGGGUGAGGAGCGCGUAGGAACGUAUCCAAGGGUGGGGGACAACCGCGGGAAACUGCGGCUAAGACCGCAUGGGGCCUGAGGGCCAAAGCCGGGAGACUGGCGCCUAUGGAGCGGCCUGCGUCCGAUUAGCUUGUUGGUGGGGUAACGGCCUACCAAGGCGGUGAUCGGUAGCUGGUCUGAGAGGAUGAUCAGCCACACUGGGACUGAGACACGGCCCAGACUCCUACGGGAGGCAGCAGUGGGGAAUAUUGGACAAUGGGCGCAAGCCUGAUCCAGCAAUGCCGCGUGGGUGAAGAAGGUCUUCGGAUUGUAAAGCCCUUUCGGCGGGGACGAUGAUGACGGUACCCGCAGAAGAAGCCCCGGCUAACUUCGUGCCAGCAGCCGCGGUAAU
Molecule: ribosomal RNA, 394 nt
Filed under: uncultured bacterium
Lineage: Bacteria
Description: bacterial SSU rRNA
Rfam family: Bacterial small subunit ribosomal RNA
Source: RNAcentral